This 504-nucleotide ribosomal RNA is filed under the name uncultured bacterium. RNAcentral's name for it is "partial 16S ribosomal RNA". It matches the Rfam family "Bacterial small subunit ribosomal RNA", at positions 28 to 523 of the family's 1533-position model. The record is from RNAcentral.
GAUAAACGCUAGCGGCAGGCUUAACACAUGCAAGUCGAGGGGCAGCAUAGAUUGUAGCAAUACAAUUGGUGGCGACCGGCGCACGGGUGCGUAACGCGUAUGCAACCUACCCGUCACAGGGGGAUAAUCCGGAGAAAUCUGGUCUAAUACCCCAUAACAUAUGGAUCGGCAUCGGUUCAUGUUGAAAUUUUCGGAGGUGACGGAUGGGCAUGCGUAGCAUUAGCUUGUUGGUGAGGUAACGGCUCACCAAGGCGACGAUGCUUAGGGGGACUGAGAGGUUUUCCCCCCACAGUGGUACUGAGACACGGACCAGACUCCUACGGGAGGCAGCAGUGAGGAAUAUUGGUCAAUGGGCGCAAGCCUGAACCAGCCAUGGCGCGUGCAGGAUGACGGCUCUAUGAGUUGUAAGCUGCUUUUGUACGAGGGUAAAGUGGGUUACGUGCAACCUUUUGAAAGUAUCGUACGAAUAAGGAUCGGCUAACUCCUUGCCAGCAGCCGCAGUAA